UUUUUUCCUGUAGCAAUAUAGGGAAAAGUCUAGCGGCGAACGGGUGCUUAACACGUGGGCAAUCUGUCUUAAAGUGGGGGAUAGCUCGGCGAAAGCCGAAUUAAUACCGCAUGUGAUUAGAGUGGACAUCCAUUCGAAAUUAAAGUCGGGGCAACCUGACGCUUUUUGAGGAGCCCGCGGCCUAUCAGCUAGUUGGUGAGGUAACGGCCCACCAAGGCUUUGACGGGUAGCUGGUCUGAGAGGACGACCAGCCACACUGGGACUGAGACACGGCCCAGACACCUACGGGUGGCAGCAGUCGAGAAUUUUUCUCAAUGGGGGAAACCCUGAAGGAGCGACGCCGCGUGGAGGAUGAAGGUCUUCGGGUUGUAAACUCCUGUCAUUUGGGAACAAUGCGCCGGCAUUAACUGUGUCGGCGUUGAUAGUACCAGAAGAGGAAGAGACGGCUAACUCUGUGCCAGCAGCCGCGGUAAUACAGAGGUCUCAAGCGUUGUUCGGAUUCAUUGGGCGUAAAGGGUGCGUAGGCGGCGCGGUAAGUCGGGUGUGAAAUCUCGGAGCUUAACUCCGAAACUGCAUUCGAUACUGCCGUGCUUGAGGACUGGAGAGGAGACUGGAAUUUACGGUGUAGCGGUGAAAUGCGUAGAUAUCGUAAGGAAGACCAGUGGCGAAGGCGGGUCUCUGGACAGUUCCUGACGCUGAGGCACGAAGGCCAGGGGAGCAAACGGGAUUAGAUACCCCGGUAGUCCUGGCAGUAAACGGUGCACGUUUGGUGUGGGAAGGAUUCGACCCCUUCUGCGCC
This 799-nucleotide ribosomal RNA is filed under the name uncultured Verrucomicrobiota bacterium. RNAcentral's name for it is "bacterial SSU rRNA". It matches the Rfam family "Bacterial small subunit ribosomal RNA", at positions 67 to 847 of the family's 1533-position model. The record is from RNAcentral. Lineage: Bacteria; Pseudomonadati; Verrucomicrobiota.